RNAcentral lists this microRNA (21 nucleotides) under Citrus sinensis (sweet orange). Its description in RNAcentral is "csi-miR3954". The record is from miRBase by way of RNAcentral. Lineage: Eukaryota; Viridiplantae; Streptophyta; Magnoliopsida; Sapindales; Rutaceae.
UGGACAGAGAAAUCACGGUCA